GACGAACGCUGGCGGCGUGCUUAACACACGCAAGUCGAGCGGUAAGGCCCUUUUGGGGGUACACGAGCGGCGAACGGGUGAGUAACACGUGGGUGACCUGCCCUCAGCUCUGGGAUAAGCCUGGGAAACUGGGUCUAAUACUGGAUAUGACCUUUCCUCGCAUGGGGUUGGGUGGAAAGUUUUUCGGCUGGGGAUGGGCCCGCGGCCUAUCAGCUUGUUGGUGGGGUGAUGGCCUACCAAGGCGACGACGGGUAGCCGGCCUGAGAGGGCGACCGGCCACACUGGGACUGAGACACGGCCCAGACUCCUACGGGAGGCAGCAGUGGGGAAUAUUGCGCAAUGGGCGGAAGCCUGACGCAGCGACGCCGCGUGGGGGA
Molecule: ribosomal RNA, 377 nt
Filed under: uncultured bacterium
Lineage: Bacteria
Description: bacterial SSU rRNA
Rfam family: Bacterial small subunit ribosomal RNA
Source: RNAcentral